AGGCUCUCAGGGCUAGCUCUGUGGUUCCUGCUUGUUCUUGGUGUAUUUUCAGCUGGGAGUUGGUGCCUUGGGUUAUCUUCAUCCUGCACAUAGGAACAGCAUGGAGAGGAGUUGGAGACUGCAGGCUCUACAGCAGGGCUGGAGGAAUCAUGCUGGGGAACCGCAGCCAGGACUGCCUGGUCCUCAAACAGCUGCUGAGGGAAGGCUGCUUCCUGAGAGGAGCACAGCAGGGACCGAAGGAUGCCAUUCACUGGCCGAAGACUGGGGAUGGAUUUGACUUAGCCCGCACCAGGCCACCAGGAGAUGGACCCAUCCUGCACGCAUCCCCAGGUCCAGGAGCUGCUUCCCCUGCUGCUGCAUGGAGAGCAUCCCUGCAGGCAGUUGGGUCAGCCCAGCGCAGUGCCACCUGCAGCAGCUUCGCGUCCGCUGAGCCACGCUCAAAGAAACGUGAGAGCAGAGCUGCUGCUGACAAUGAAAUGGGAGAGACAAGUAUUUAUUCUGCUCGGACCUCCUCGAGAAGCAGAUGCACGCCGGCAGAAUGCUAAGCAGAGCGGCGGUUCGGGGAGACAAAUGUCCAGGCAGCUUUUCUGUAAUAUCCAUUUGAAAGAAGCUUAGUGCCACCAGGCUUUCAUCUCAAUAUUCCUGAGGCCGGAUUUGAAAGUGCUUAAGGUUAAAUAUUACUCACUCUUGGAAAGAACAUCUCCAUCUGUCUCAUAAAAAAAAGCUUUCAGUCUUGGAGGUACUCAGGGAAACUUACCCAUAAACACAGUCAUCAGAGAUUUCCGAGGGGAAAAAAAAUCCUAUAGGCUCUGCCUGAGAAGUAAUUAGCCUUUCAAAUUCAGCAAUGUUUAAUCCCACAAAGCCUUAUAUACAAAAUAUAAUCCUGUUUUUCUUCAGAGCUGAGCCAGUGAGGGAGCAUGACCCCACCGGACCAGGCUGUGCACAGCUGGGUCCCAUUGGCCACAUCUGGGUGUCACGAGGUGCGGAAUGAGAAGGAGGCAUCCAGCAAGCCCAGCUCACCCCAAGUACCCCAAAGGAUGCUCUGGGCCCUGGGGUGAUGACCCUGUGAGGAUGCAGCUGGCAGGAGGCACUGUGGCACAUCCCCAGGUUGCUGAGAGAUGCUCUGGCUGCUAAAUGCCCAAAUCGCUUUGGAAAACUGGAUUUAAGCAGCCAGUUUUGAACGCUCGUGGUAACAGAGGAACCUGAAAUAACAUUGUGUGAUUUGGGGUGAAGUGCCCUGAGGCCUGCUGAUAAUAAUUGUAGCACUCUUUAAAAAGAAAAAUGACUUUUUUUUUUCCUGGGCAUUCAAAGCAGCUGACAGCAUCCCAGGGGACCUCCUGCUGCUUUCGAGAGGAGAAAUUGCAGCUUUUCAGAGGCUGAGAAAUGACACCACUCUGCAACCCACGCUGCUCCCGCGGAUCUCAGCUCCAGCACAGCAACACGGUGCUGAGGCCGCGGGCUCAGGGCUGCCACCAGGCAGGGGAUGUGCAGGCAAUGCAACGUCUGUCAGCAGAAACAUCAGCAUCCAUUCCUAACCAUCUGGAAGAAGCUGGUGCAAAGCUCUGCGUUAGAAAGUGCUCCUUGUUCAUCCUCGUGGUAAGAGAUGAGGUAGGUCCUGCCAACUCGGUGGCUCGUGGCUUGUUUCCCCUCCCAGGUGUGAUGCCUCAGCCAUCCCAUGGGUGCCCCGAGAGCUGCAAGGCUGGGAGAUGAGGUCUGAAGCAUCCCAGUGCAAUCGCUGACCAUUGAAUGAAACCAAUCUCAAUAAGAAGACUGAUUUAAGUGAGUUCUUGUGUUCUCCACAGCAGCUUCCCUGCUCCCUGCUGAGCUCAGCCUCCCAGUGUGACAUGGGAUAUCUCCCUUAAACCACAUAAAACUUGAGUUUUAUGAGACAGAAACUGAAGGGCACAACGCACUGAUAGCUGUGUGUUGACUGCUGAUAGGUGCACUGAGGAGCUAAUAAGAUAAUCUGGCUUUUAAUGCAUUGAUCGUAGCUAUUUGGUUACAGUAGAAAAAAGGUCUAACAGGAAAUGCUAAUAAUGUCACAAAACUUGAAGCAAAUGAAGGAAGUUCAUAAAAAUAAAGAGCACAAAAGCGAUGUCUGCUCUUAGAUAAGUAUUAUUAUUGGGCUUUGAUGCCCAUCUUGACCUGGCUGUUAAGCAAUGCCCAGCUGUAUGGGCUCUGUAGCUUGGGCAAAGGGCAAAUGCAACGAGGAAGGCCGGGUAUCUCAUAGCAGCAUACAAAAGUGAGCAGAUCAAUACCAAUAAACUACUUCAGAUAGUGAUUAAUUAAUAGGAAUUAAUUUUAAAAAGAAGAGGCUAUUGACGUAAAUUGACAGAGGUGCUAACCUCAGAGCAAUUCAGAGAGAAUGUCUUUAAAACAGAGUGAUUAAGUUGUAGAAAGUAAUAAAAGGGCUGCGCUGCCUCCAGGAUGAGCUCAGCCAGCCUGGGAACGAAGACAGGAGAGCCUCUAAUUAGAUGCUGGAGCUUGAUGAGGUAACUGACUGGGUUGGCACUGCCAGCCUGGAGUUCAGUUGUGUCACUUCUGAGUGUGUCCUGGGUGUGAGGACAGAGGGAUUCCUGCAGGGUGCUGACAGCUGUGGAAUCGGAGAUGGAAGCAAGGAUCCUAGCAAGGAAUGGUCAGUGUUUCACCUCUCCAGCACUGCAGUGAUGUUACUCACUAUUAUUACAGGCUGCAUGGACCAAGACGACAGGGGACCAAGCACAGCCCAUGGCCACGGUGGGGAUGAGUCAGUCUUGGUCUUUUGACUUCUCAAGUUCGUGGGAGUGUGAAUUAAUGGAACACUUCUGAAAAUGAAAGGGAGGCACCCAGUGGUCCUUUGCGGCGAGGCGGAGAGGUGUGACAGCACAGCAGGCCAAAGCUACGUGUUGGAAUCUUCAUCUCUUAUCCCCUGUCUUCUUUGGUGUUUUGAAGCACUGGAAGACCAUUUUUAGGAAGGUGACCCUAAUCAAGUGGAAUGUAUUUCCAAAUCUUCAUUAAGCCCAUCUUAUGUGAUGACCCUCCAUCCGAGCAGGCAUCCAGCUGUGGGCCAGACUUUCUGGCCCCAAGGAAGAGGCCGCCCUCUCCCCACAGCCUUCCUCUGCCUUCACCCUGGAGCAAAGCCACUGAUCAGAAGCUGGAGGAAAGGGUUAACUGUGGGUCUGAGAUGCAGGCCGUAUCUGAUUGCUCUGUGGUUAUGGAAAACUAAAGUUGUGUGCCACGUGCACAGCAGUUCCAAGCUGGUUUCUGCAGGUCUGCUGAGCGCACAGUCUUCAGAGCAGCCCCAGCCUUUAUUUUUGGUUUUGCUAUCUCUGCAAAUGGAGCUGUUUACUAACAACAUUUCCUAACAGACAAUUAAAAGCUGAUUUAUAUAAGGCUUCAAAAAAAAAAAAAAAAAGGAAUUCCAGAAGUUAAGUGUUUUCAGCUCAUUUUGAAAUAGCUCGGUUAAAUGAGAGUAACAGGGAGCUGAGCCCUGCUUUGCAAAACAAAUCGCUGUGAUUGGAUUCAUCUGCGCAACAAUGGGAGCUCUUGCUAAAUGGCAGCUUGGCAGCUUCAGAGAAGACCUUGGCUGGGAUCUCAACCCAAAAGCUCGCUCUGGACAGUGCUGGGGCUGCUGCCCUUCAGCAGGACAUGGCUCAAGCCCCAAGCAGCCAGUGGCCGCCCCAGCCUGCGGGCUGUAUCAUCCCAGCACCACGCUGGGUUGGUGGAGAUGUGGGAUUCAUCCUACAGUGCCAUCGAGUUGCUCCCUCUGAGCUGAAAGGCUGAAGACAGCUUUGUCUGCGGUGGCUCACAGAGCAAGCUAUUAUUGGGACUGAAGACCUAAAAUAACCUUGAAGAAAGAAAAAAGUGGUUGUGGGAAUUAAGGAAAGAAGGAUCCAACGGGUCCAUUGUUAAUGGUUGGCAUCAUUAUAAAGUUCACAAUUGGCGACUUAUUUAAAGACUGCUUUUCUUUGAGUGCUUUACGCUGUGCAAAUCCAUCUUGAAGGGAAUGACAUUCCCUCAAACUCCUAUCAACAUUUACGUUUGCAGGAACGAACUGCCUCUAAGCUUUUAUUUGAGCAAUUAAGACAAUUGCAGCAAGCGGUUCCAAAUCCUGAUAGGAGUUCUUACUUGCAAACCAGCACUCCCUGCUGGGGCUGGCAGCCUGGCUUUAUGGCCAUGUUAGUAAGUGGGAGCCGAGGAAGUGCCUUCCUCUGGGCACAGCAUAAACCAAACCAGUUCUUGGCUGUUCUAGCAGAGAGUGAGGACAGCAAACAGAGUGCACGGCUCUGAAAAUUGAAUGAGGGUUUUCAUAUUUCUGCUUGUAUUAUUAAUCUACAAUAUGGUCUUUUAACACCGUUCAUCAACAUCAUUGUGGUUUAAGCACAAUUUAACCUGGCAUUCCUCCUGACAGCUUGAGAACAUCGUAUUUGUGCUUGGCUCCCAUCUUGGGCUCUUUUCUUGCUCUUGUUUCAGCAUGUUGAUGGGUGUGGACAUCCUGCAUCUCACUCAUACCAACCAGAAGCUUUUUAUUCUUGCCUGCAAGCGCUGGUGAAGUAACAACAAGCACCAUGCAUGGUCCAGCACAGGAAGCCCUGCGAGCACAGCCACCUCCAAGGCAAUAAAAGCAUCACUGCGAAAAAUGAAAAACAACAAAACAGAGCAUGGGACUACUCCCAAUGCCAGUUCAUCUCCGUUUCAAAUAUCAGUCCCAUUCAGUUCUAAAUGUCAGGGCCCAAUUCUCCAAUUCCCAUCAAAACAGAGGCAGUGCAACCCUCCCUUCUCCUGUGGGUCCCUGCCUGGUGGUAGCACCUGGAGGUGCUUAGUCCCGCUCUGCCUGCAGCACUGAGCUUCUUCCAGCCCAAGGGAAGCCCUGGCUCAACCAGCUACAAUAAAGCCAACGAUGGUGUGGCGCAAGGGACAGCGUGCUGCCAGCAGGCACAUCACCCUGUCCAUCCUGAUGGCCAUGGCUCUUCACAUCAGCUCUGCUGACUCCUCUGAACUCCCAGGAACAUAUGUUGAUAGCAAGCUACAUCAAGAUUUGCAGCAAAGAGAGUUUUAUAAUAAUAUUUUACUAGCUCUAGUAUGCAUGUUAUUGUACGGUUAAGAACAAAAUAGGAAACACAUGUGUAGAUAUUAUGUGCUGCAGAAGUUAAAUUCCAUCAGUGACCACAGAAAUAUUUAUGUUUAUGGUUUGUAAUGAAAAACUGAAUUAUAAUUAUGGAUUUACAGAAGUUUGAGUACAAUACCAUCACAGCAUUUGCAAAGAAAUGCUAAUUCUCAACACUAAAGCCCCCAGUCAGUGCACAUCUUGACAAUGCAGAGACAUCUCACUUCAUAAAGCUUAUACAACGUGUCCAGUAUCCAUUUCUUUUAUGAUCUAACUCAUGCAAAAAAUUUAAUAAAGUUGUAUUUGCUUUUCCAAAGGCAUGUAAGUGUGCACAUGUGGAAGGAUAUAUGGGGAAUGCCUCAGAAAGGGGGAAAAUUCUUGAUCAUAGAGAAGCGAGAGAUGGGAGUAUGUCUACAAAGAUGCUGAGGUUAUAUUCUUGGAUUGAAGGCAUCAAGAGAGAUGUCAGCACAGCCCCUUGACUUCUUGAGCCAUGAUGUCUUCUGCUGAGGAAUGAACAGAAGAGAAUGCUCCCUUCUGUUCAGGAGGCGAAGGAAGGAGAAAGACACAACUGGACGAUGCAUCUCAUGGGUGACUCAAAGGCUCACUUGUCUCAGUGCUGCCAGAAUGAAAGUUUUGCAGCCAUGCUGUUAUAAUACAGAGAGCUUAUUUUCAGAUUUUUUUUUUCCUAAGGAUAAGGCAGCAGAACUGAGGACAGCUGAAGUAAACUAAUGCCUGAGUUCUACUAAUGAGCAAGCAAAUACUUUUGUAUGGCUGCCUCCAAUGGUGGGUGAUGACUCUCUAUUGAUUGGGUUGAGCAAGAUUGCUCUCUAAUUACAUGAGUCACCCACGCUCUAAAAAUGGAAAAGAAAACUGGCACCGGGAGCUGCCCAGGAGGCUGUGACACAAGCUUCCAGGACUGGAGCAAAAUGAAGCCAUAAAUCACCGUGACAGAUGAUCGAUGUAAACAUUGUUUCCGCCAUGAUUGCCAGCGCUCCCCGCGGGCUCACUGUCCGCUCGCCAUUCGCUGGGCUUGCAGCCGGGAGCCGCGCUCACGCACCGAAGUCGCUCCUGCCCAAGAAGUAACCAUCUCAUUUCGGGGCUCAGCCCAAGCGCCCGAUAGCGAAUAUUAAUCAAAACGCCC
Gallus gallus (chicken) is the source of this 6227-nucleotide long non-coding RNA. The record is from Ensembl. Lineage: Eukaryota; Metazoa; Chordata; Aves; Galliformes; Phasianidae.